ACCAGACUCCUACGGGAGGCAGCGGUGGGGGAUAUUGCACAAUGGGGGGAACCCUGAUGCAGCGACGCCGCGUGGGUGAAGGAGCGUUUCGGCGCGUAAAGCCCUAUCGGCAGGGAAGAAGGAGGACGGUACCUGACUAAGAAGCCCCGGCUAACUACGUGCCAGCAGCCGCGGCAAUACGUAGGGGGCAAGCGUUAUCCGGAUUUACUGGGUGUAAAGGGAGCGUAGACGGCGAUGCAAGCCAGGAGUGAAAGCCCGGGGCCCAACCCCGGGACUGCUCUUGGAACUGCGUGGCUAGAGUGCAGGAGGGGCAGGCGGAAUUCCUGGUGUAGCGGUGAAAUGCGUAGAUAUCAGGAGGAACACCGGUGGCGAAGGCGGCCUGCUGGACUGCAACUGACGUUGAGGCCCGAAAGCGUGGGGAGUAAACAGGAUUAGAUACCCCAGUA
RNAcentral lists this ribosomal RNA (446 nucleotides) under uncultured bacterium. RNAcentral describes it as "partial 16S ribosomal RNA". It matches the Rfam family "Bacterial small subunit ribosomal RNA", at positions 330 to 792 of the family's 1533-position model. The record is from RNAcentral.